UGGGGAAUUUUGGACAAUGGGCGAAAGCCUGAUCCAGCAAUGCCGCGUGUGUGGAGAAGGCCUUCGGGUUGUAAAGCACUUUUGUCCGGAAAGAAAUGGCUCUGGUUAAUACCUGGGGUCGAUGACGGUACCGGAAGAAUAAGGACCGGCUAACUACGUGCCAGCAGCCGCGGUAAUACGUAGGGUCCAAGCGUUAAUCGGAAUUACUGGGCGUAAAGCGUGCGCAGGCGGUUGUGCAAGACCGAUGUGAAAUCCCCGAGCUUAACUUGGGAAUUGCAUUGGUGACUGCACGGCUAGAGUGUGUCAGAGGGGGGUAGAAUUCCACGUGUAGCAGUGAAAUGCGUAGAGAUGUGGAGGAAUACCGAUGGCGAAGGCAGCCCCCUGGGAUAACACUGACGCUCAUGCACGAAAGCGUGGGGAGCAAACAGGAUUAGAUACCCUGGUAGUCCACGCCCUAAACGAUGUCAACUAGUUGUUGGGGAUUCAUUUCCUUAGUAACGUAGCUAACGCGUGAAGUUGACCGCCUGGGGAGUACGGUCGCAAGAUUAAAAGCUC
RNAcentral lists this ribosomal RNA (555 nucleotides) under uncultured bacterium. RNAcentral's name for it is "partial 16S ribosomal RNA". It matches the Rfam family "Bacterial small subunit ribosomal RNA", at positions 355 to 902 of the family's 1533-position model. The record is from RNAcentral.